AAACAGAACCAGGCUUGGAAGGGGAGAGUCAUUUUCAGAGUCAGCACUAUUACUGCCAAUUUGGAGAUUAAACUUCCUCAGUGAUUUGAGAACAUUAAUAUGGUAAAGGAUUUACCUACAGACUGCAGAGAAAUUGACUCUGCAGGGGCCAGCUGGAUCAGUGCUGGUGCUCCUGGAAAUCUGCUUCCCGCUGAUCGUGGGGAGCCAGCAACAAGCAUGAUGGGCUUCAGCAUCUUGGACAGGACAUCAGAGAUAGAGGACUUCAUCUUUUCCAUCGGGUGUCUAAAUCAUCACAUUGAUGUGCCCAGUGAUAAAUGCCAGGUGUUCCUCCUUUUAAGCCCAGCCCCAGUUCAGGGCGCUACUUGAGUGAAGCAGCUGCAGCAUCUUAUCCUGCCAGGUUCAAGGCCAACCAGGAAGAUGACUUGCUUUUUUCCCCAGUCGUUUCAGAGUUGGCUCUGAUUGAGUCAUCUGCCCAUUCCUGAGUGAGUGAGGAGUGAGAAGCUGAUUAGC
This 510-nucleotide long non-coding RNA is filed under the name Equus caballus (horse). RNAcentral describes it as "lncRNA (ENSECAG00000055117.1)". The record is from RNAcentral. Lineage: Eukaryota; Metazoa; Chordata; Mammalia; Perissodactyla; Equidae.